CGCGAGGCGGGCAGGGCGAGCCGGCGAGUGCCGACGGCGGGGACAGGCGUGGGCGCAGGCCGCUCAGCCGACGGCGGGACGAGAGUGGGCGCGGGCGGGUCACGGGGGACGCGCAGGCCUCGCGCGGAGGCGGAGCCGGCACUGCCGCCUGCCGCCUGCGUCCCGAGCGCGCAGCCUCGCGCUGCCUCCCUCCCCGGGGACGGUCCGAGCGCACGAUGGCUGAGGAGAAAUACCUGCCGGAGCUGAUGGCCGAGAAGGACAGCCUGGACCCCUCGUUCGUGCACGCCUCGCGCCUGCUGGCCGAAGAAAUUGAAAAAUUUCAAGGUUCUGAUGGAAAAAAGGAAGAUGAAGAAAAGAAAUAUCUUGAUGUCAUCAGCAACAAAAACAUAAAGCUCUCAGAAAGAGUACUGAUUCCUGUCAAACAAUACCCAAAGUUCAAUUUCGUGGGGAAAUUGCUCGGACCAAGAGGAAACUCCUUGAAGAGGCUACAGGAAGAAACAGGUGCUAAAAUGUCAAUCCUGGGCAAAGGAUCAAUGAGAGACAAAGCAAAGGAAGAAGAGCUAAGGAAGAGUGGGGAAGCCAAAUAUGCACACUUGAGUGAUGAACUUCAUGUUCUAAUUGAAGUGUUCGCUCCACCUGGGGAAGCUUACUCACGUAUGAGUCACGCAUUGGAAGAGAUUAAAAAGUUCCUGGUGCCUGACUACAAUGAUGAAAUUCGUCAGGAGCAACUACGUGAAUUAUCUUACUUAAAUGGCUCAGAGGACUCUGGUCGAGGCAGAGGGAUCAGAGGCAGAGGGAUCAGAGUAGCUCCCACGGCCCCUUCAAGGGGUCGCGGGGGUGCCAUUCCUCUUCCCCCACCUCCUGGACGAGGUGUCCUCACCCCUCGAGGAACCACUGUGACGCGUGGAGCCCUGCCAGUGCCCCCUAUAGCAAGAGGUGUCCCGACCCCUCGAGCUCGGGGGGCACCAACAGUGCCAGGAUACAGAGCACCCCCUCCUCCUGCCCAUGAGGCUUAUGAAGAAUAUGGCUAUGACGAUGGCUAUGGAGAGGAGUAUGAGGAACAGACCUACCAGGCUUACGACCACAGCUAUGCACCACAAACGCAGAGUGUGCCUGAAUACUAUGAGUACGGUCAUGGAGUAAAUGAGGAUGCCUAUGACAGCUACGCAACGGAAGAAUGGGCCACAACUCGCUCCAGCUUGAAGGCACCGCCCCCCAGGUCAACGAGAGGGGGAUACAGGGAACACCCCUAUGGUAGAUAUUGAAGGUCCUCCUCACCCGUGACUGCACCUAAAGAGAGUGCAUAGCCUGUGGUCUCCACGUAAACAGCAACGAGACAAUGCUAAAUAUCACCGCCCUUGAAGGCAGUUUAGAGGGCUGAUAUUUCUUUUGAGACUAUCAGACUUGAUGGCUGAUGAUUAUUAAGGAAAUAUGUCGCAGGACUCAAAGGAUGACUAAACGUUAAACAGGUACUCACAAGCAAACAACACAUAAUGGAAUAGCAGAUGUAAUGGGCUCAGAAGGAUAGAGAUAUUUAAAGAAGUUAAUUUGAGCUGAGAUUUACAAAACAUGGUGCCAUAGAAGAAAUAAGAUUUCAAAGGAAGUUCAUAUGUGGACAGAGAACUACUGAAGGAAGGAUAAGGCCGCGCGGGAACAGGAGAGCUUCGCAGCUAAGCUGGAGGAAUCCCGGAGACCACAGCGCCUGCAGGGGCCAAGCACGCUGCGAGACUUUGCGUGCAUAGACCCUCAUUUUUCAGCAGCCUUAUCAGCAGAAAAUCCUAACUGAUUUUCAUUAGCAAAAGAUUCUCAAUGGCAACCUAAUUCCCAAGGUCAUCAAAGAAAAUACACAUUGAAUAUAACAUAGCUUUAUUGAUCCACGGGUCGUGAGUCCACAGCAAAAUGCCAUAUGCUUCUGAGUUCAGUGGCACUAAGACGACGGCCAAGGAAAGUGGCACAGAGCAAGGUACUUUCCGCCAAUGAAUUCUGUUCAUCUGAGAAGAUGUUGGAAUCUCCAGUAGUUGGAACUAGGCCUUCACCAAAAAAGCAGUCAAUCAUUCUUGUGCUUUUGCUCUGCCUAUUGGAAGUGUUCAUUUGGCUCCAGCUGCAGCCAACUUUGAUGGCCAAUGAUCUUCAGUUACCAGACCCUACCAUAUGUCUGUAACAUUGUUAAAUAAACAAGUGUUUAAAAUAAGAA
Cavia porcellus (domestic guinea pig) is the source of this 2194-nucleotide RNA transcript. It is a transcript of the gene named KH RNA binding domain containing, signal transduction associated 2, with no coding region annotated. NCBI's taxonomy places the organism in Eukaryota, Metazoa, Chordata, Mammalia, Rodentia, Caviidae. The record is from RefSeq and is a predicted model, not a curated record. The transcript has 16 exons.